UUAGCUAUCUUUGCCUUUUAGCUUAGGUCAAGUGUAGCAACUCUUCUUGUCAGUUUGAUAUCUAAAACGUCCCUAUGCCCCCCACCCCCUUUUUUUUCUCUCUUUUUUGGACUAAGCGAGUCUUUAGAAACUGGUCCGGGGUAGCGUUGAUCUCGGAAUAAGUUUUCUUGAC
This 172-nucleotide small nuclear RNA is filed under the name Macrophomina phaseolina MS6. RNAcentral's name for it is "U2 spliceosomal RNA". It matches the Rfam family "U2 spliceosomal RNA". Rfam says of the family: U2 is a small nuclear RNA (snRNA) component of the spliceosome (involved in pre-mRNA splicing). Complementary binding between U2 snRNA (in an area lying towards the 5' end but 3' to hairpin I) and the branchpoint sequence (BPS) of the intron results the bulging out of an unpaired adenosine, on the BPS, which initiates a nucleophilic attack at the intronic 5' splice site, thus starting the first of two transesterification reactions that mediate splicing. The record is from Rfam by way of RNAcentral. Lineage: Eukaryota; Fungi; Ascomycota; Dothideomycetes; Botryosphaeriales; Botryosphaeriaceae.